RNAcentral lists this ribosomal RNA (301 nucleotides) under uncultured bacterium. RNAcentral describes it as "partial 16S ribosomal RNA". It matches the Rfam family "Bacterial small subunit ribosomal RNA", at positions 509 to 809 of the family's 1533-position model. The record is from RNAcentral.
CAGCCGCCGCGGUAAUACGUAGGUGGCAAGCGUUGCCCGGAAUUAUUGGGCGUAAAGGGCUCGCAGGCGGUUUCUUAAGUCUGAAGUGAAAGCCCCCGGCUCAACCCGGGAGGGUCAUUGGAAACUGGGAAACUUGAGUGCAGAAGAGGAGAGUGGAAUUCCACGUGUAGCGGUGAAAUGCGUAGAGAUGUGGAGGAACACCAGUGGCGAAGGCGACUCUCUGGUCUGUAACUGACGCUGGGGAGCGAAAGCGUGGGGAGCGAACAGGAUUAGAUACCCCAGUAGUCCCUGUCUCUUAUAA